GAAAAAUACUCGGCGCAGCUGCUGCGGCCUUGGGUCAUCUCACCUCCAUCUACCCCGCGUGCUCGCUUUCGCUUGGGGUGGAAAGCGGGGUUCAGGGGCUCUUUUCAGCGGACUGAGAAAUCGCAGAGGCCGUGGGGACCCCAAGUCAGGAUUCCCCUUUCCCGACAUCAGGGGUAAAGGGAGCGGGGGUCCCUUCGCUUCACUGUGCCCCAGCUCUACCGAGAGGCAGGCCUCUGGGAAACGAGCCGGGGACCUGGGGGCCCGGGCGGCCGCAGCUUAGUGGGCUGAGGUGCCGAUCAGGGUCACGCUUCGGAGCUCUGUCGGGGCCCAGCUCCCUCCUUCACACCCCAAAAUGCCGCCUAGGGCGUGGGCAUCCCGAGUGGCAUCCGGAGCCGCUGAGACCCCGCCGAGAUUGCUCCUUGUGCGUCCUCCCACAGCCGAGAGGCCAGCAUCGUGCCGGGACGACCCGGGGACCCGAGUCCGGGCGCCGCUACACCGCCUCGGGCGCUAGGCCUGGGAGCUUUGAGGCCGGUACCGUGAAACACCUUUAGGAGCAAGGAGGGAUUCCAGGUGUCCUCCCUUUGUACCCCAACUCCCUGCCCGGAUCUCUUCCACUCUCUGCCAUAGCCCCCACACACAAACUUUGUUCUGGACUUGUUCAGCCCCUUCGGGACCCACAGUUGUCGCCUCCAUCGGAGAAAACAAGUGCCCCUGUUUCAGGGGGGAUUCCACUCUGGCUGGCCACCCGCAAACCUGGAAAACUAUUCUAUGACUUCUUCCCUGACCCCCCUGGAAGUAGGGAGCACCACGAUCCGCAGAGGGCGCAUACCGACCAGAAAGAUUUUGGGGGGCAGAGGGUGCAAGUGUUGUGGGAAGAGAUGCGGAGAUAAAUUUUGCGAGCCAGACCCCGACACUUUCCCCGUCCGUUUGCACCGUCUCCGGAACAACUGGCGGCCAGCAGCACUCUCCACCCCGGCCGCAACCCCAGCGGGUCAGGCGCUGGCGCCCCGACACCAGUCCCCAUCUUCUUGCAGCUCUGAACCUCCAAAGACACCCGGUUCUGCCUCGCAGGCCGAGGGGGAGUGUGCGUGGGGGCAGGGGGGCGCAGCGAACUCCCCCACGCUCGGAGUUCAGCCCAGCGCCCGAAGUAAACUUCCUUACCGCUGGCAGCAAGGCCGGGCGGCGGAGGCCGGGCCGGGUGCCCUGGGGCCGGCGCCGGGAGCGCUAGGGGCCCCGUGCGGUCAGGCCGGGGCGACCUCCACCCG
This 1265-nucleotide long non-coding RNA is filed under the name Homo sapiens (human). RNAcentral's name for it is "non-protein coding lnc-CYLD-4:2". The record is from RNAcentral. Lineage: Eukaryota; Metazoa; Chordata; Mammalia; Primates; Hominidae.